This 5669-nucleotide long non-coding RNA is filed under the name Salmo salar (Atlantic salmon). RNAcentral describes it as "lncRNA (ENSSSAG00000087954.1)". The stretch from base 4901 to 4954 matches the Rfam family "UnaL2 LINE 3' element". The record is from RNAcentral. Lineage: Eukaryota; Metazoa; Chordata; Actinopteri; Salmoniformes; Salmonidae.
CUCAGUGACAGGUGUAUUUUCUAAUGGCUUCACCAUACAUAGGAAGAGUCCGGCCCAGCAGGGGAUAUCCUCCCCCUUCACACCUAACCCUAUUAAACCCCAGCUCUGCCCUUAUCUACCCCCGUCUUCUCUACACUGCAUUAAACAUCAGACAUGAUAAUAAUCACAUUAUCAUAAAUGCUAAACAAUUCCUUUCAGGGUAUUGGACAACUUCAAAGUAUGUCAAAUAUAUCUAUUUCAUGUUGUAUUUAUGUUUUUUUUCACCCCAUCAAUACCAGUCAGUCAAAUUGUCCCUUAAAUUGACCCAAACUGACCCUUAAAUUGAGCCAAAUUUACCCUUAAAUUAGCCCAACUUCAACCAGGAAGUGAGUAUUCUCCCCCUGUAGGUGUUGUAACGCAGGUGAUUUGGGCUCUGAGAAGCUGGCAAUGUGGUGGGGUGACAGGCAAGGCUGGCAGGUCUGCCAGGUGGGUAGGAUGGGAGGUGGGGGUGGUGCGGAGUGGUUGGUGCAGGCAGUGGGCAGACUGCACGGAUGAUGUACCUACAGCUAAUGGGGGGAAACUGUGCACGUCAGUGAACCAACCCCCUCCGCGACAAUGCAAAGACAGUGCCAAGACAGAGACAGAGAGAGAGGGAGAAAAAGAGAGAGAGACAGAGACAGAGAGAGAGAGAGAGGGAGAAAAAGAGAAAGAGACAGAGAGAGAGAGAUUUGGAUAAAACAUGUAUUUAUCCUUCAUUUAACCAGUUGAACCUUUAUUUAACUAGGUAAAUUAUUGAGAACAUAUUCUCUUUUCCAAUAACAACCUGACCAUGAUAGGGCAAUAACCAGUAACCAUGCAGCAAAGCAGACAGGUGAAAACAUGCAGACAAGCAGACAUUUCUUAAAAACGAAUAUCAUUAUAACACAAGGGAACCAACUAGCAGCUAGAGAGGGGAGGGUGCAUAACCAGAAAGAGAGAGAGGGGGGGAGGGUGCAUAACCAGACAGAGAGAGAGAGGGGGGGAAGGCUGCAUAACCAGACAGAGAGAGAGCGAGAGUGGGGAGGGUGCAUAACCAGACAGAGAGAGAGAGAGAGAGAGAGAGAGGAGUGUGGAUAACAAGACAGCGAGAGAGAGAGGGGGGAGGGUGGAUAACCAGAGAGAGAGAGGGAGAGGUGCAUAACCAGAGAGAGAGAGAGCGAGAGAGAGGGUGCAUAACCAGACAGAGAGAGAGGGGGGAGGGUGCAUAACCAGACAGAGAGAGAGAGAGGGGGGAAGGGUGCAUAACCAGACAGAGAGAGAGCGAGAGAGGGGAGGGUGCAUAACCAGACAGAGAGAGAGAGAGGAGUGUGGAUAACAAGACAGCGAGAGAGAGAGGGGGAGGGUGGAUAACCAGAGAGAGAGAGGGAGGGGUGCAUAACCAGAGAGAGAGAGGGGGGGGUGCAUACCCAGACAGAGAGAGAGAGAGAGAGAGAGAGAGAGAGAGAGAGAGAGAGAGAGAGGGAAGGGUGGAUAAUGAGACAGAGAGAGAGAGAGGAGAGGGUGGAUAACCAGACGUAGAGAGGAGGGUGGAUAACCAGACGUAGAGAGGAGAGGGUGGAUAACCAGAUGUAGAGAGGAGAGGGUGGAUAACCAGACAUAGAGAGGAGGGUGGAUAACCAGAUGUAGAGAGGAGAGGGUGGAUAACCAGACACAGAGAGGAGAGGGUGGAUAACCAGACGUAGAGAGGAGAGGGUGGAUAACCAGAUGUAGAGAGGAGAGGGUGGAUAACCAGACAUAGAGAGGAGGGUGGAUAACCAGAUGUAGAGAGGAGAGGGUGGAUAACCAGACGUAGAGAGGAGAGGGUGGAUAACCAGACGUAGAGAGGAGAGGGUGGAUAACCAGACAGAGAGAGGAGAGGGUGGAUAACCAGAUGUAGAGAGGAGAGGGUGGAUAACCAGACGUAGAGAGGAGGGUGGAUAACCAGACGUAGAGAGGAGAGGGUGGAUAACCAGAUGUAGAGAGGAGAGGGUGGAUAACCAGACGUAGAGAGGGGAGGGUGGAUAACCAGAGGCAGAGAGGGGAGGGUGGAUAACCAGACGUAGAGCCUGAGAGAGGGAGGAGAGAGGAGAGACAGGCCAAGAGAAAGAAAGUGAGAGAGAGAGAUAGAGAGAGAGAGAGAUAGUGAGAGAGAGAGAGAGAGAGAGAUAGUGAGAUAUAGAAAGAGAGAGAGAGAGAAGAUAGUGAGAUAGAGACAAACAAACAGACAUACAAAGAGAGAUAGAGAGAAAGAAGGAGUGAGAGAGAGCGAUUUAUACAUGAAUGACUGUGUGUGUGGGUCUGUGAAUGAGUCUGCUUGCAGAAAGGCUUAUAUGUGUGCCAACAAGUUCUGAAUUGUUUGUGUGUCUGUGUAAUCUGAAGGAAAUAUGUGUCUCCAGUAUGGUCAUACUGUACUGUGACAGUAGAAGUCUAGUAUGCAAAUAUGUAGACCAUCCAAGCUCUGCAGUAGAAGUCUAGUAUGCAAAUAUGUAGAAAAGCCAAGCUCUGCAAUAGGUGUCACUCAUUCCUUCUUCUGUAACGCCAUGACCUCCCAGUAGGUGGACAGAAAAAGUAUUUAUAUGAGGUCUAUAUCACAUGCUAUGCUCUGGUGUCCUCUAACCUGAGCCUAGUGCUGGUCCAGGAGAUAUCUAACCUGAGCCUAGUGCUGGUCCAGGAGAUAUCCAACCUGAGCCUAGUGCUGGUCUAGGAGAUAUCUAACCUGAGCCUAGUGCUAGUACAGGAUAUAUCUAACCUGAGCUUAGUGCUAGUCUAGGAGAUAUCUAACCUGAGCCUAGUGCUAGUCUAGGAGAUAUCUAACCUGAGCUUAGUGCUAGUCUAGGAGAUAUCUAACCUGAGCCUAGUGCUGGUAUAGGAGAUAUCUAACCUGAGCUUAGUGCUAGUACAUGAGAUAUCUAACCUGAGCCUAGUGCUGGUCUAUGAGAUAUCUAACCUGAGCCUAGUGCUAGUACAUGAGAUAUCCAACCUGAGCCUAGAGCUGGUCCAGGAGAUAUAAAACCUGAGCCUAGUGCUAGUACAUGAGAUAUCUAACCUGAGUCUAGUGCUGGUCCAGGAGAUAUCCAACCUGAGCGUAGUGCUGGUCUAUGAGAUAUUUAACCUGAAUCUAGUGCUGGCCUAUGAGAUAUCUAACAUGAGCCUAGUGCUGGUCUAGGAGAUAUCUAACCUGAGCCUAGUGCUGGUCUAUGAGAUAUCCAACCUGAGCGUAGUGCUGGUCUAUGAGAUAUUUAACCUGAAUCUAGUGCUGGCCUAUGAGAUAUCUAACAUGAGCCUAGUGCUGGUCUAGGAGAUAUCUAACCUGAGCCUAGUGCUAGUCUGGGAGAUAUCUAACCUGAGCCUAGUGCUGGUCUGGGAGAUAUAUAACCUGAAUCUAGUGCUGGUCCAGGAGAUAUCCAACCUGAGCCUAGUGCUAGUCUGGGAGAUAUCUAACCUGAGCCUAGUGCUGGUCUGGGAGAUAUCUAACCUGAAUCUAGUGCUGGUCCAGGAGAUAUCCAACCUGAGUCUAGUGCUAGUCUGGGAGAUAUCUAACCUGAGCCUAGUGCUGGUCUGGGAGAUAUCUAACCUGAGCCUAGUGCUGGUCUGGGAGAUAUCUAACCUGAGCCUAGUGCUGGUCUAUGAGAUAUCUAACCUGAGCCUAGUGCUGGUCUGGGAGAUAUCUAACCUGAAUCUAGUGCUGGUCCAGAAGAUAUCUAACCUGAGCCUAGUGCUGGUCCAGAGACGGUAGAAGUGCAUCUCCAACAUGUUCUGGACCGUUGUCCAAUGCUGCUGGAGUCCUUGGUUUUAAGUGUUCACCCAGUAGACGAAUCAGGGUGUAUUAAAUACGCUUGUCACUCUCCACUGGCAGUACACGGGGGAAUGUAUUUUGACAAACUCAGCUCCACAAUACCUAAGUGUCCCUGGCUGACGCCAAGAGAUAAAUACCCCUAAAUUAGGAAAUGGCUUGAAUUUGGCAAAGUAGGCUUUUAAAACAUAGAUGUAUCCCUAUCCCUAUAGUCUAGCUAAGGUCAACAAACAGAAGUUGAGUGACAAGUCAAAUUGGUUAAUCAAAUUUUGUGUCUAAAGCCAAUGGUUCAAUGUCUGACUACUGUAUAUUAUUCAUCUAGUGACAGAAAAACAGCUAUGAUGGUUGUUUACUGACAAGAAAGACAGAAAGAAAGACAGAAAGACAGAAAAAAGAAAGAAAGACAGAAAGAAAGAAAGAAAGAAAGAAAGAAAGAAAGAAAGAAAGAAAGAAAGAAAGACGGAAAGACAGAAAGAAAAGCAGGAAGAGAGACAGAAAGAAAGACAGAAAAAAGAAAGAAAGACAGAAAGAAAGAAAGAAAGAAAGAAAGAAAGAAAGAAAGAAAGAAAGAAAGAAAGAAAGAAAGAAAGAAAGAAAGAAAGAAAGAAAGAAAGAAAGACAGAAAGAAAGAAAGAAAGAAAGAAAGAAAGAAAGACGGAAAGACAGAAAGAAAAUCAGGAAGAGAGACAGAAAGAAAGACAGAAAGAAAGACAGAAAGAAAGAAAGAAAGAAAGAAAGAAAGAAAGAAAGAAAGAAAGAAAGAAAGAAAGAAAGAAAGAAAGAAAGAAAGAAAGAAAGAAAGAAAGACGGAAAGACAGAAAGAAAAGCAGGAAGAGAGACAGAAAGAAAGACAGAAAGAAAGACAGAAAGAAAAAAGAAAGACAGAAAGGCUGUGUCAGCACCAAAAUAAGACAAUGUUCAGACAGCCCUGACAGUGAAAUAAACAGGUGUGUGUUUGUGAGUGUGAGAGAAGUGCAGAGAGGCUGGGCUAACACUGGGACUAAACUGUGCCAAGGGAAAGAAAGGGAAAAUAAAAAUGUCUCCACAUGCUCUGACAAGUGUUCAGCACUGUCAAGGUACUUGUUACGUCCCUCAAAUCAGUCAUGUGUAUAGAUUGAACCAUGUAAGUCGCUCUGGAUAAAAGCAUCUGCUAAAUGACAAAAAUGUAAAAUGUAAACGCAUGGUCGGCUUGUUAGGCUGUACAGUGUGUGUGUGGGUCUGUGUGUGUGUUUAUGUGUGUGCAUGCGCGAGUGAGUACCUCUGAAAAUGAGUAACAUCCUGGCAUUUAAAGCAUACUUAUUUUUCAAAAUUUCACUUAGAAAAUGGCUACUAUUUAGAAUGCAUGAACUGGUAAUCGGACAUGACGUGUCUGUGCGUGUGUGUGAGUGCAUGCACACACAUUCACCUGAACGUCUCUGCAUUUGACUCGACUACUCAAUCUGCAUGUCUCAUACUGCAUGUUUCAUAUACUACAUGUCUCAUAUACUACAUGUCUCGUAUACUGCAUGUCUCAUAUACUGCAUGUCUCAUAUACUGCAUGUCUCAUAUACUGCAUGUCUCAUAUACUGCAUGUUACACUGGAGAUUAUGCGUUUGGUAGAACAAGGACCAAAUGAGGUCAGAAGACUGAAAAUAGUCCCUCCACUCGGCCAUGGCACCAACUUGCUGUCAGCUGCCAGGAUUUCAGACCACACAGAGAGAGUCCUGCUCCAUGGACCCAUCAGCUUUGACUGAUGCCUCUAAUACAUGAGAGCUGCCAUGACAUACCGUACUGUAGGUGAGUGGUUCAACAUGCCAAAUGGGUACGUCUGGGGGAGUGGGGUUGGUGUGGUGGGUUAUGGGGGGUUGUUUUUGUGUGUGUGUGUGUGUGUGUGUGUGUG